Molecule: non-coding RNA, 229 nt
Organism: Pelobates cultripes (western spadefoot toad)
Lineage: Eukaryota; Metazoa; Chordata; Amphibia; Anura; Pelobatidae
Source: the annotation of a GenBank genome assembly
GAUAAUUGUUUGUAAAGUGCCAACAUAUUCUACAGUGCUGUACAGUUGGUGGACCAACAAACAGGUAGUUGCGACCAGACAAGUUGGACGUACGGGAACAGUAGGUGGAGAGGUUAAAUGAACGUACAUUCCAAGAGUGGCCGGAUAUAAUAGAAAAGGUAAAAUGUAUUUCAGACUCCGUUGAUUGCUGGGGAUUGAGGAGAAUUUACAGUACAAGGAGAUCUUGAUA